AACCAUUUGAAGUAGAAGGGCAUCUAAUUCACAUGACAAAGGAAAAACAUGAAUAAAAACAACAAUUUAAUAAGAAAUAGAUCCUUUUUAUAAAACAAAAUCUUUUUGUCUGCAAAUUCGUAACUUCAAGGGCGAACAUGUAAACAGGACGAGUUGUCCCGAUACCAAAUUCACGCAUGCGUACUUCAAAUAUCUACAGUAAAACAUCCGGUUACAAGUAAACAAAUAACGUUCAUGUAGAUGAGAUGAAUUAAUAUUUACAUAAAUAAAAGGGUCAUAUUUACGAUAGUGAUUGUUUUUCCAUCGUAAUUUACAAAUUAAAUGAUUCAGAUGCUUAAUCAUGUGUAAAAAUCUGUGUCAGGAAUCAGAAGUUGUUAUGAAAUUGUAAUAUACAGAAACGAAUGCGGUAUACGGAGAAUUUAAUGAUUUUAAAGUCGGCACCAUUGGCCUUCAGAAGACUUGAAGUCUUCUUCCACCAAAAAGGUAGUUCAUAUGUUAAUUAAGAAUCUGUGCUCACCCAUUACAUUAGGAAUUAAAAGUGCCACAUUCUCAAAAAAUCGUAUUGUACAGCUGAUAAAGUUGAGGAUGAGCGUCAUUUUCCAAUCGCAUGCUCACUUUAUAAUAUUUGAGGGAUGAACUCAUUCAGCAUAUUUCUAGCACUUGUCAGAACUUUAAAAAGUUAAAUAAACAUGACGAAUCUUCGAAAUUUAUUUGUUUUGAUGUUAACACAAGAAAACUUUACUAUUAUGGGGAAAACAUCUUAUUAUAUUGUUAGCUCUUUUGAAUUAUGUAGCA
Molecule: long non-coding RNA, 795 nt
Filed under: Mytilus galloprovincialis (Mediterranean mussel)
Lineage: Eukaryota; Metazoa; Mollusca; Bivalvia; Mytilida; Mytilidae
Source: RNAcentral